UACAGAGGUGGCAAGCGUUGUUCGGAAUUACUGGGCGUAAAGGGCGCGUAGGCGGCCUUGUAAGUCCUGUGUGAAAUCCCCCGGCUCAACUGGGGAACUGCACAGGAGACUGCUUGGCUUGAGUUCGGGAGAGGGAAGCGGAAUUCCGGGUGUAGCGGUGAAUGCGUAGAAUAUCCGGAGGAACACCGGUGGCGAAGGCGGCUUCCUGGAC
This 211-nucleotide ribosomal RNA is filed under the name uncultured bacterium. Its description in RNAcentral is "partial 16S ribosomal RNA". It matches the Rfam family "Bacterial small subunit ribosomal RNA", at positions 524 to 734 of the family's 1533-position model. The record is from RNAcentral.